This 61-nucleotide transfer RNA is filed under the name Nymphon australe. Its description in RNAcentral is "tRNA-Pro". The record is from RNAcentral. Lineage: Eukaryota; Metazoa; Arthropoda; Pycnogonida; Pantopoda; Nymphonidae.
CAAAAAAUAGUUUAUUUAAAAUUUAAAGUUUGGGACUCUAAGAUGUAUGUUACUUUUUUGA